This 399-nucleotide ribosomal RNA is filed under the name Triticum aestivum (bread wheat). Its description in RNAcentral is "partial small subunit ribosomal RNA". Lineage: Eukaryota; Viridiplantae; Streptophyta; Magnoliopsida; Poales; Poaceae. The record is from RNAcentral.
AUGAUAAUACAUCGAUGCAACGAGGAGACAGAUUGCCGGCUCUCACUUGUGCCCGCCACCAUCGAUGUUUGUUCUGGAAGGGAUGAUGCACCAAGCUGGAUGGGGUCGGUGUCGAUCAUCGCCUUUUGUAGGCAGUACCUUUUGGAAAUUAUGCACCUCGUAUUCCUUGCACUAGCUAAUGGUUUGUGCAUUUUCUCGAUGCAGGAGCAGUGGGUUAGCUUGGACCAACGACAACAUUCAUAUGGAAGUUUAUCUCACUGCACUGGACUAGAGUCAAGGACUGUUAACAUGCUUCUUGACGUCCCCCGUUCCGAAGAAGCAAAGCCAAACAAAUUCCUGCCUCCCCUUGGGCAUCUAAGACACGCAUGUGUUCUUGUCGAGAGAGGAUUGAGUAUGUAG